AACUAAGCAUAUCAAUAAGCGGAGGAAAAGAAACCAACAGGGAUUGCCCUAGUAACGGCGAGUGAAGCGGCAACAGCUCAAAUUUGAAAUCUGGCUCUUUCAGAGUCCGAGUUGUAAUUUGCAGAGGGCGCUUUGGCUUUGGCAGCGGUCCAAGUUCCUUGGAACAGGACGUCACAGAGGGUGAGAAUCCCGUACGUGGUCGCUAGCUAUUGCCGUGUAAAGCCCCUUCGACGAGUCGAGUUGUUUGGGAAUGCAGCUCUAAAUGGGAGGUAAAUUUCUUCUAAAGCUAAAUAUUGGCCAGAGACCGAUAGCGCACAAGUAGAGUGAUCGAAAGAUGAAAAGCACUUUGGAAAGAGAGUCAAACAGCACGUGAAAUUGUUGAAAGGGAAGCGCUUGCAGCCAGACUUGCUUGCAGUUGCUCAUCCGGGCUUUUGCCCGGUGCACUCUUCUGCAGGCAGGCCAGCAUCAGUUUGGGCGGUGGGAUAAAGGUCUCUGACACGUUCCUUCCUUCGGGUUGGCCAUAUAGGGGAGACGUCAUACCACCAGCCUGGACUGAGGUCCGCGCAUCUGCUAGGAUGCUGGCGUAAUGGCUGUAAGCGGCCCGUCUUGAAACACGGACCAAGGAGUCUAACAUCUAUGCGAGUGUUUGGGUGUCAAGCCCGAGCGCGUAAUGAAAGUGAACGGAGGUGGGAACCCGCAAGGGCGCACCAUCGACCGAUCCUGAAGUUUACGGAAGGAUUUGAGUAAGAGCAUGGCUGUUGGGACCCGAAAGAUGGUGAACUAUGCUUGAAUAGGGUGAAGCCAGAGGAAACUCUGGUGGAGGCUCGCAGCGGUUCUGACGUGCAAAUCGAUCGUCAAAUUUGGGCAUAGGGGCGAAAGACUAAUCGAACUAUCUAGUAGCUGGUUCCUGCCGAGUUUCCCCUCAGGGAAA
This 931-nucleotide ribosomal RNA is filed under the name Curvularia lunata. RNAcentral describes it as "partial large subunit ribosomal RNA". It matches the Rfam family "Eukaryotic large subunit ribosomal RNA", at positions 32 to 981 of the family's 3401-position model. The record is from RNAcentral. Lineage: Eukaryota; Fungi; Ascomycota; Dothideomycetes; Pleosporales; Pleosporaceae.